RNAcentral lists this ribosomal RNA (465 nucleotides) under uncultured bacterium. RNAcentral's name for it is "partial 16S ribosomal RNA". It matches the Rfam family "Bacterial small subunit ribosomal RNA", at positions 29 to 507 of the family's 1533-position model. The record is from RNAcentral.
AAUGAACGUUGGCGGCGUGGAUUAGGCAUGCAAGUCGAGCGAGAACCCCGCAAGGGGGGACAGCGGCGAAAGGGACAGUAAUGUGUAGAUUAUCUGCCCUCAGGUCCGGGAUAGCUGCGGGAAACUGCAGGUAAUACCGGAUAACAUCUCCGGAUCAAAGGUGUGAUUCCGCCUGAGGAUGAGUCUGCAUCCUAUUAGCUAGUUGGUGGGGUAAUGGCCUACCAAGGCAUUGGUGGGUAGCAGGUGUGAGAGCACGACCUGCGUCAUUGGGACUGAGACACUGCCCAGACACCUACGGGUGGCUGCAGUCGAGAAUCUUCGGCAAUGGGCGCAAGCCUGACCGAGCGACGCCGCGUGUGGGAUGAAGGCCUUCGGGUUGUAAACCACUGUCAGAGGGGAUGAAAUGCAGGUGGGUUCUCCCAUCUGUUUGACAUAGCCUCAGAGGAAGGACGGGCUAAGUUCGUG